This 253-nucleotide ribosomal RNA is filed under the name uncultured bacterium. RNAcentral describes it as "partial 16S ribosomal RNA". It matches the Rfam family "Bacterial small subunit ribosomal RNA", at positions 524 to 776 of the family's 1533-position model. The record is from RNAcentral.
UACGUAGGUGGCAAGCGUUGUCCGGAUUUAUUGGGUUUAAAGGGUGCGUAGGCGGCCCUAUAAGUCAGUGCUGAAAUAUCCCGGCUUAACCGGGAGGGUGGCAUUGAUACUGUAGGGCUUGAGUGUAGUCGAGGUAGGCGGAAUUGACGGUGUAGCGGUGAAAUGCUUAGAUAUCGUCAAGAACACCGAUAGUGGAGACAGCUUACUAGGCUACAACUGACGCUGAGGCACGAAAGUGUGGGGAUCAAACAGG